This 129-nucleotide small nuclear RNA is filed under the name Rhodnius prolixus. Its description in RNAcentral is "U4 spliceosomal RNA". It matches the Rfam family "U4 spliceosomal RNA". From Rfam's summary of the family: U4 small nuclear RNA (U4 snRNA) is a component of the major U2-dependent spliceosome. The structure of U4 snRNA from yeast and human has been reported. Lineage: Eukaryota; Metazoa; Arthropoda; Insecta; Hemiptera; Reduviidae. The record is from Rfam by way of RNAcentral.
AUCCUAACCUUGUGUAACCAAUGAAGGUCUCCUGAGGUGCGAUUAUUGCUAGUUGAAAACUUUUACUAAAUUCAAUUAUUAAGACGAUUCAAUGCUCUAAUUUCUAAUCCCUUUAAAACAUACAAAUAU